UACGUAGGGGGCAAGCGUUGUCCGGAAUCAUUGGGCGUAAAGAGCGUGUAGGUGGCCCGGUCAGUCCGCCGUGAAAGUCCAGGGCUCAACCCUGGAACGCCGGUGGAUACUGCCGGGCUGGAGUCCGGAAGAGGCGAGUGGAAUUCCUGGUGUAGCGGUGAAAUGCGCAGAUAUCAGGAGGAACACCAAUGGCGAAGGCAGCUCGCUGGGACGGUACUGACACUGAGACGCGAAAGCGUGGGGAGCAAACAGG
RNAcentral lists this ribosomal RNA (253 nucleotides) under uncultured bacterium. Its description in RNAcentral is "partial 16S ribosomal RNA". It matches the Rfam family "Bacterial small subunit ribosomal RNA", at positions 524 to 776 of the family's 1533-position model. The record is from RNAcentral.